GGAUCUGCUAAAGAGGAGAAACCAAUCACCAGUCCCUACUUUGCUGCUGCUGCUGCUUUUUUAAAAUUUUAGACAUAGAAGAGCCUAAUGGCCUGGUGGCCCUCCUCCACUUUCCAAACCUGAGGACAUCACUUUUUCUGUCUCCCAAAGGAUGAUAUCAGCGCCUUUAUCCCCGAAAGAUUCGCAUGCAAGCAGUAAUAUAUAUUUGUCUUUGACUGACUUCAUUCAGGAUGACAAUCUCGAGGUCCAUCCAUGUCGCGCCUAUAGAUGCCUCAGUGGUAAAGAAUCCACCUGCCAAUUCAGGAGUAGCAGGAGACGCAGAUUUAUAUUCUGGGUAGAGAAGAUCCUCUGGAGAAGGAAAUGGCAACACACUCCAGUAUUCUUGCCUGGGAAAUCCCAUGGACAGAGGAGCCUGUCGAGCUACAGUCCAUGGGGUCACAAAGACUUGGACACAACUGAGCAACUGAGCACGCAUAGACUACGUUAGUGAUAUUGCUCAUUGUAAACUUAAAAGACGCAUCUACCUCUGGGAAGUUAUUUAUGCUGUAGCUACAUAUUAAAAAUGCUUUGGUAACAUUGACCAAAUCGAUGCUGAAUCAUGGCCAGU
Long non-coding RNA from Bos taurus (domestic cattle), 607 nucleotides. NCBI's taxonomy places the organism in Eukaryota, Metazoa, Chordata, Mammalia, Artiodactyla, Bovidae. The record is from Ensembl.